CCCCAGGCCCGUGGGGUUGGAUCGCGUGAAUCCCGUCAGGACCGUGAAGGUAGCAGCGGUAAGCGCGUGAAGGUCGCCACGGUCAGCCUGGGGUUU
Molecule: signal recognition particle RNA, 96 nt
Filed under: Candidatus Palauibacterales bacterium
Lineage: Bacteria; Pseudomonadati; Gemmatimonadota; Gemmatimonadia; Candidatus Palauibacterales
Description: signal recognition particle sRNA small type
Rfam family: Bacterial small signal recognition particle RNA
About the family: The signal recognition particle (SRP) is a universally conserved ribonucleoprotein involved in the co-translational targeting of proteins to membranes. Archaeal SRP consists of a 7S RNA and homologues of the eukaryotic SRP19 and SRP54 proteins. In most bacteria, the SRP consists of a 4.5S RNA and the Ffh protein (a homologue of the eukaryotic SRP54 protein).
Source: RNAcentral